GACGAACGCUGGCGGCGUGCCUAACACAUGCAAGUCGAGCGGAGUCAGUAAGAGGAAGUUUUCGGAUGGAAUCUUGCUGGUUUAGCGGCGGACGGGUGAGUAACGCGUGAGCGACCAACCUUUCACAGGGGGAUAACGGACCGAAAGGUUCACUAAUACCGCAUGAGACCACGGUGUUGCAUGACACAGGGGUCAAAGGAGCAAUCCGGUGCAAGACGGGCGCGCGUCCGAUUAGGGAGUUGGAGGGGUAACGGCCCACCAAGCCUAUGAUCGGUAGCCGACCUGAGAGGGUGAUCGGCCACAUUGGAACUGAGAUACGGUCCAAACUCCUACGGGAGGCAGCAGUGGGGAAUAUUGGGCAAUGGGGGAAACCCUGACCCAGCAACGCCGCGUGAAGGAAGAAGGUUUUCGGAUUGUAAACUUCUGUCCUUGGUGAAGAGAAGAAGACGGUAGCCAAGGAGGAAGCCCCGGCUAACUACGUGCCAGCCGCCGCCGUAA
Molecule: ribosomal RNA, 498 nt
Filed under: uncultured bacterium
Lineage: Bacteria
Description: partial 16S ribosomal RNA
Rfam family: Bacterial small subunit ribosomal RNA
Source: RNAcentral